RNAcentral lists this ribosomal RNA (492 nucleotides) under uncultured bacterium. Its description in RNAcentral is "partial 16S ribosomal RNA". It matches the Rfam family "Bacterial small subunit ribosomal RNA", at positions 29 to 507 of the family's 1533-position model. The record is from RNAcentral.
AGUGAACGCUGGCGGUAGGCCUAACACAUGCAAGUCGAACGGCCGCACAGUAAGAUCUUUCUCUUACUGGUGGCGAGUGGCGGACGGGUGAGGAAUACAUCGGAAUCUACUUUUUCGUGGGGGAUAACGUAGGGCAACUUACGCUAAUACCUCAUACUUCCUACGGGUUAAAGCAGGGGUUCUUCGGACCUUUCGCGAUUCAUUUAGCCGAUGUCGGAUUAGCUAGUUGGCUGGGUAAAGGCCCACCAAGGCGACGAUCCGUAGCUGGUCUGAGAGGAUGAUCAGCCACACUGGAACUGAGACACGGUCCAGACUCCUACGGGAGGCAGCAGUGGGGAAUAUUGGACAAUGGGCGAAAGCCUGAUGCAGCCAUACCGCGUGGGUGAAGAAGGCCUUCGGGUUGUAAAGCCCUUUUGUUGGGAAAGAAAAGAAGCAGGAUAAUACGCCGAUGUUCUGACGGUACCCAAAGAAUAAGCAACGGCUAACUUCGUG